GGAGAGGAUCGUGGUCCAAUUAUCUGAACACCAUUGCCACUUGCUUCUUAUCUCUCCUUUGGUGGUCUUCUACUACCAAGCUUUUCAACUCACAAAGUAAUUGCUCUACUAAUAUCUAAUAAAGUACCCAAAAUACCCCAAAAUAAUGGAUCAUUAAUCAUCUAUCAUUGUAAUCUUUUCAAUGAGUUUUAACGAAACACUUCCAGUAUUGUUUAUUUUUAACAAAAAAAUUAUAUUUUUACUUUUUUAACUUUAUUUUGGUGUCCAAAAUUUUGGACACCAAAAUAAAGUUAAAAAAGUAAAAAUAUAAUUUUUUUUGUCAUUUUUCAUUUUUGUCAUUUUUUUGUCAUUUUUCAUUUUUAUUUUUGUCAUUUUUUUGUCAUUUUACAUUGAUGACUAUUUACUAUACAUUUCUUUGUCAUUUUUUAUUAAAAUUAAAUUUUUUUUUAACUUUUCAUUAGUUUUCCUAUCUUUUUAGUGUUACAUCAAUGUGAUGGAAAUUGGGGUCGGAUAUUAAGACAGGAUAAAAAACCGACGUCGUGACACUGAAGUUUAUAGUGCGUGUGAAAGAUAUGAGCUACAGAAGUAAGAAUACUUUGGAAUUAUGAUCUACUUUGACGAAGGGUUCAGUGAAUAUAUAAAGAUGAAAUACCGUUUUAGGAAAGUUGCAACUUCCCCCAAGACAUAAUCAUUCAUAUAUUUUGAAUUAAUUAAUUAAUUAACUAAAUAAAUAAAUAUAUCAUUUACUUUAAUAAUUAAUUAACUUAUUUUCCCUUUGGUUAUGUGUCUAUGGAUACACCAGUGUUAAGUGUACAUUCACAUAUAAUUACACACAUUGUAAAAAUUAUUUUAUCAUAAUCAUAUUCGAAUUAAAUCUUAGAUUUGCGUCUAAAACUACUUGGUUUCAACUUUUGCUAGAAUUAUUAUCUUUCUUACAUGAAUUCUAUAUACUAAGUUCAAACCCAAAGCAUUAACCUUAAACUUGAAUCGCAGAUUUUAUUUGUAUUGCAAAUGUAAUUUGGAUAAGAAAUGCAACUAAGUAAAAAUCAAGAGGGUAAUAGAUCCAAAAAAAUGUCCGAUAGUUUCUCAAAUCAUGCACGAACAUCACCUAUGUGUAAAGCAAGAUGAGUAAGAUAAGUAACACUUUUAACGAGUCGAGUGUAACCAAAUAUUACUCUACUCGAAUUUAACUUUUUUUAGUACAAAUUGAUUUGGCUUUCUUCUUGUACGAGCAUAUGCUGUUCAAUUCUCCCAAAGACAUGGUAUAAAGUUAUUUUAAUCAUCAUCAAUUAAAUUAUUUUAAGUACACUUUUGGUUCCUACAAACAAAGAAGUACCCUUUUGGUUUUUGCUUUUGUCUACACCCCUUUUAGGGUUUUUUUUUUCACCACAGACCAGCUAAUGGCUUCAUAACGGUAAUUCACUAUUUUUAGACUCAAAAAGCUCACAGACAUUUAACUUCUCCUAACCACAAUCAUAUGAUUCAUUAACGCUCGCAAUUGAACCUCGAACGUGCUAUGUGAAAUAUAGAUCUAAAAUUCGUCCUCAACUAGUCUACACUCCGUGAUUGUUACUUUUUAGUUAUUUUGAUUUGCAACAUUAUUUUUUAAUAGCACAUUAAUUAUUUGAGAUAACCAUCUAAAUAAACUAAUAUUUGGUUGAGAUAGCUAUCUAAUUAUUUAAUAUUUGGUGAAGUGUAACGUACGCAGAGUUCCAAAAAUUAACUUAAUUAAGUAUAUGCAUCUGUUCUGUCAAAUUUAAAUUUUGGACACCAAAAUACUCGUUUUUAUGGGGAACAUUUUGUUUGUUUGUUUUUUUUUUUUUUUAAUUCAAUUUUCUCAAAACCAUCAGGGUAAAAUUGUAACACCACCCCAAAAUGGUUAGGGGACAAACAAAUUAAACUCCUAAACAAAAUUAAGCAAAUCUAGCCACCCACUAAUCACAUCCAAAUCGUUACAAUCUAUUUACACAAUUACCCAUCUUAUUUCCCAAACUACCCCUACUCCGGAAUUGCACUCAACUCCGCCGCAAACCGUCCAUUUCCACCACUAUCCCUCCGCCUCCUCGACCCCCCACUGGCCACCACUCUCCGGCGAUCCUUCACCUCCACGCCGGAAAAUAUCAGUGGAGACACCGAAUUCCGGCGACAUCCACAUUUUUCGCCGCCACUCUUCAUAAGCGCGGAGCUGGCUUUUACGGCCAAUGCGGCCAUCUCCUCCGCUUGCAGCGGGUGCUUGAGCCAGCUGAGCGGCAAGGCAAAGUAGAGCUGUCCCGGCUGGAGCACCUCGUUAUCACUGACGGCCUGAAGGACGUCGUCGAAGUCCAUCUCGUCGGAGUUGCAGAUGAAGCAAGUGGGGUUCUUUUGGAGCACGUAGGAAACCUUUACCGGGUACGGGAAUUCUUGUAAAUUUCCGUCCUGUAGAAUCAGCUUGGCGGUGGCCACUUGGGUCGACCCGGACGAGCUGCAAAUACCCAUUUGGGUCGAAAUCGGAUCGUUGGAAAAUGGCUGAGAAUUUGAGGUGUGUCUUUUUAGAGAUAGAAAUUAGAGAGAGGGCAUGAGAUAUUUGGUGGAGGAGGGAGAAGCACGGAGGGUGUAGAGAAGAAAGAGAGUCAAUAUAUAGAGAGAAAAUGAGGUGGUGGGGCCUCGUAAUUUGAACCUGGAUACCACGUAGGAUAUUUGUCGUUUAGCUAAGCAUUGUUUUUUUUUUUAUCAGUGGGCUUUGGCCACAGCCAGGCUGUAAGUUGGUGGUGGUGACAGGUUGUAAUCGAUUUUCUGAGAGUUUUUUUUUUAAUUUUUUUUUUUUUUUGUCAAAUAUUUUCUGGGAGUUUAGAAUUGGGAUUAACUUGCGGUUAAAGCACCUGCCGCCACUGACUCGGGCUUUUAGUCUUGGCUUUUGGGGUAAUUUACGAGGAGGAGAAUUUUUUUUUAACAUAUAUGACUUACUGGUUAAUUUCAAAUCUUAAAUCGACCAUUGUUAUUCGAAGUUGAGGAGGUAAUUUUGUGAUUUGUGUGCUUGGCAAGGAUUAUGCAGAAGAGGUUUGACGUUUGUUGGAGGUAACUCAUAACAAGAUUUUUUGCAUGUGAUUGCAAGCUAUGAAUGAAUGAUGUGUUCUUUCUUUCGUGGGGUCUUUUCAGCGCUUUGAGGGAUUCACAAUCAUGUUUUCUUGUCAUUGCAAACUCUUCGGCGAUGGUAUGAUAGUUACCUUGUGUGUCUUGACAGUGUUAUGUUUGAUGACUCAUAGGGCUUAGGCCUUGUGAGUUUAUCUUUCAUGUGAUCGAGGAAUCAUACAUUGAAGAGUUUAUUUUGUACUGUGUUGUGAUUUUGUUGUCUGUUCGCUUAGCAAAAGACUAUAGGAACAUCUUCGAGAUGUCUCAUACCAAGGCUUCUUGCCGAAUAAGCGUUGUCUUUUACAAGUUCAUCAUCAACACAUGGUGUAAGGUUUUAUCUUCGUAAGAGUUACCUUUCCGUUUGGUUAGAUGGGUUUAUGUGGAGUAAGUUUUAAUUUUCUUUCUGUUGCGUUUAUAAACAUAAAAUUGUAUUAAGAAAGUGUGAUGUUCUUUGUUUUAUUUGAUCAAUGAAAGACUUAUCACUUCUAAAAAAAAGAAAGGAAUUGGGGUCCUUAGUUAAAUUGCCCUCUUGGUUGUAUAAAAUUACAAGGGUAGGGACUAGGGUUGGUCAUGAGAUUAGCACAGUUUCUAUAAGUAGAGAGUGAUGUCAAAAGGAUGCUUGUAAAAGGGGGAAGAACUGCUAAACUUGGCAAGCCAUUUCAUGGAUAAUGGGAUUAUGGGAAUGGGAGACCCACCUAAGCAUGAUCAUGAUCAUGAUGGUACUACUAUUUUAUAUCAACCCCUUUUUCUGGGGGGUGCUAAUAUUAAUAUAUGGUUCCAAUUAUAUUUUCCACUUCCCCCUUGUGUUUGUUGUGGGAGAUUUAUUUACUAUUUAUUUUGUUUGUUUUCUGAAUAUAAUGGGUCCACCAAUUGAUUUUGUAACUAAUUAAUUAGUAUUUAAUCUCAAUUUUUAUCAUGAUUAAUCAUGAAACAGAUAGAAGUUUGCUUUUUAAAGAAUAAAAUGUAGAGAGUAUCAUGGAUUUGAUUUGCUAUGGAAUUAAAACCAGAACACAGAAAUGUGAAAACCAUUAACCAUUGGAAGAAGGCAUAUAUAAAAAAAGAAUGUUUAAAAGCAAAUCCUGGAAGCCACGCAGUACUACUAUCUGGUGCUAUUCAUCUUCACUUGUAAGUGAGAGAUCUUAGGUUCGAAUCUUGUGAAUGAUGAAUUCGAUACCAAAUUAGGUUGCCUAUUGUGUGGUUUAGCCGAACUCUCCCUCCCCUAGUAUGAAAUAUAUCGGUGUACCAAAAAACAAAGAAAAAAAAAAGCAAAUCCUGGAAUAAUUUGGACUUACCAAAGAUGUUAGGAACUUAACCUUCCUUAGCCUUGAAGGUUUUGGUCACUUAUGCUUAAACUUUAGGGGUCUUUUAGAUGUUAGAUUAGACUUUAAGAGGUAUACGGCCCUAUAUAUGCUAAUGUGCUACCUUUGGAUGGAUUCCACUAGGUAAAAGGAACUCUGAGUACUUUUUUAAAUGGAAUAAAAAGUCACAAAAUGCUUCUCCUUACAAAGUUACCCCUGGAAAGAACACAGAAAAGCUGAAAAAUAGCAUGCAGAUAUUUGUGAAGAUAAGUAUUAGAGCGAAGAUAAGAACUACGUUUUUUUUUUCCUUUUCAUUUCUGACAUAUCUUGCGUUUACUAAUAUACUAAUAUGAAAAUAACAAAUAUUUAAUACGACAAAGAAUAUUUUUCUUCAUUUAUAAUAAAAUUUUAUAUCCGCCUAAUUCUAUAAAUAAUAUGUUUGGCUCAUUAACCCUAGAAACGCAUACAUAAAACCAAAAGUAAGAAGAGUCCGAAUUUUUUAUUCUAAUUGCGACCCCCAAAAAACCAAACGAAAUCUGUCACAUACAAUUCACAUUGCUAAAACUCCAAUUGUUGGACACAGAUUUUUCACAUGCAUGAAAGGGUUCAUGUCACUCAAGCAUCUCCACUCCCCAGACAAAAUCUGCAGGUGAAUUGUAAUUUAUGGGGGACAAGGAUACUUUCGAGAUUCUUUUUGUAGGGAUUCGAUGAUCAAUUAAUUUUGUUCGUUUAUUUUAUAUUAUACGAUCAAUUUUUAUUAGGUAUUAAUUAUAUUUAAUUUUAAAUUAAAAUUAUUUUGUGGGGAUUCGAUGAUCAAUUAAUUUUGUUCGUUUAUUUUAUAUCAUAUGGUUAAUUUUUAUUAGGUAUUAAUUAUAUUUAAUUUUAUAUUAAAAUUUUUAAAUAAUUUCUAAUUAUAUGUUGUACGAUAAACAAAUACUAUUAAUUGAUCAUUCAAAUCUCUCACAAAGAAUAUCAGAAGGGAUCCUAUUCCAUUUAGGGGGAGAGAGAUGGGGUAAAUUUCAGAGACAACAAAAUGUGAAUAAUUGGGACCAGAAGAGAGUGGGUGGCUGAUGAACUUGCAACGUUUUCUUUGCACUUUUGGCACUUUGCAGGCACAUUGUUCAAAAUUUGGCCCAACUCCAAGGGCAGGGAAAAUUCCAACGAACAAAUAAGAAGAAAAAUAUAAAAUUGGAAUGCAUGAAUGAAGAGAAAUGGAAACGUGGCAGGGUGCGGGAGGAGGUGGUGCGUCGCUACAGUGCACGAGAGAAGGCACGUGGAAAAGAGUAGCCAUGAAAACUGCAACAAGCAAGCUAUAAUUAAGGAUGGAAAAAAAUUCUCAAAAAUUCCGAACCAAAUUGAAAAAAUAUCGAUCCCAAACCGAUUUUCCUAAAAUUUUCGGGAUGCUAUCCUGAAAAAAUACCGAAAUUUCGGUACAAAAAUCGGGAUUGUCUUCCCAAUAAUGAAAAAAUCAUGUUACUUUAUUUUUCAUCCCUGCAACAUAAAGAUAUGAAUGAUUAUGAUAUGUGUUAUGUGUUAUUCUAUUUCAUUGAUAGGAAUCACUUUUAUUGGAAGUAACACAAACACCAGUGUCAAAGUUGUUGAAGAAAGUAAAGAACAUAAACACCAUAAGUGUAAUGAGUAUUUGACAAAAUCACAAAAAGGUAUGUAACUUUUGUAAUAGGUUUGCCUUCUAGUGUAUUCUUAAAUGGUAAAACAACUCCGUUCUAUAGGUUAUAAACUUAUAAAUGCAUCUCAAUACCAAAAAAAAAGAUAUCAUAUAAAACUUAUCCGCGGUUGCACUGGUGGUUGUUUAAGAGUUUAAUGUUGUCUACCGAUAUCGUUUGAUCAAUUCAUGCAUUAUUCCUUCUACCUCCUCAACUUCAUGCCAUGUAACUCAUCGGGAGUAUGAAGUUGAAACUAGUAAUGGAAGAACAAUCACAAAACGAAGGAAAACAAGAAGCACAGUAAUGUUUGAAGUAUGUACCUGAUUAUUUCAGUGAAAAUAUAACAGCUAUGGGAAUUGGGAAUACAGAAUCACCAAAAGCCCAAAAAUAUUUCGGGAUUCCCGAUUGUUCCGAAAUACCGAAACUAUUUUGGGAUUUCCGAAAUUUUGGUUUGAGAUCGAUCUUGAAAUUAAGAAUACCGAAAAUUUCAGUUUGGGAAUUGUCUCUAAGAUUUUAGUUCGGUAUCCCAUACCGAACCACCCCUAGCUAUAACUAAUAAGUAGAUAAUAUAAUGACGUUAAAAUGGUACAUACAAUAUAUAUAUGUUAUUGCAAGGUAUUGAAUCAAGUAUCCGACAAGACAAGCGAUGGCGUAAGCUGACGUGGGUUUGCUGGUUUGAUCCCCGACUGCGCCUGCAAUCUGCAUGCUCACCCAUGCAUCCCGGCGCAAUGCAGCCCUCCUCUCUUUUAACUUAUUUAAUCGCUUCCAAAGUCCGCCGCCCUUUCCUGCUUCCCCGGCGACUCUUAUCAUCCUGCAAUCCACAAACCUCCUCUCUUUUAACUACAAUUCUUGUAUAUGUUUAUUAGUGUUGUUGUGCCACUAUCACUUAAUUACUAUCACUACGUAUGUAUGAUAACUAGGAUGUUGUCUUGUAUUCAUUGUCUUUCUUCUUACGUUGUCGGACUAUGAAUCUAAAUUAUAUAUGCAUCAUAUUAAAGUUAGAUAAUUUAACAACAUAACAUGUUAAAUUCAACAACAAUAUGUCAUCAAUAUCCCUUUUAUUGAAUCUAAAAUAUUCAUUGAGUGGACAUUUAUUUGAAUGUGUAUAUCCAUAUAAAUACUACGACAAUACAAUAUUAUCAUUCAUUGAAUUGGUGAAUCUAAAUUGUUCAUAAGUUUGAAGAUUAUUUGAAUAGUUUGCAUGGAAGUAAAUAAUUCAGAUUUACAUACAUAAUUUAACAGCAUAGCAUGUCAAAUCCUGCAUCAACAUACAUUAUCAUCAAUUAAGCAUGUUAUAUGAAUCCAUUGGCAUUGAAUUUCAUGGACAUUGUUACAACUUACAUCAAUACUUUGACUAGAGGAAUGUAAUUGUAAAAAAUUUCACAUUUUGGAUUUUUAGAGGGUUAAACUUCAAAGUGUGGUUGGAGGAGAGAUUUGAGUUUUUUAAUUUGCUUGUAUGACAAAUGAUAUAAACACAUCCAAAUCCACACUUAAUUUCAACACAUUCUUAAACAAAAGACAAGAAAACAGGAAAUCCAGGAUUUCUUCCAUUUUGGCAUGCAUGCUCAUGUUCUAUUGGAAGAGAGAGAGAGAGAGAGAGAAUGAUCACCAAUUAUGGAUCAUGCACCUACUGGCAAAUAAAUGAAAUAAUAUAUUGAUUUUUUAGUCAAAAUAGUAUCUGAGAUUGAUGUAAUUCUUCAGUUUAGUCCUUAAUGAUGAAAAUCGAUUGAAGUGGGUCAUGUGUUUGUUCAUCGUAAAUUAUUUUAGUAUUUUGUUAAAUUUUCUAUUAGUACGAUGACGUGGGACAUGAGUAGUCUCAAGGACCAUUAAGUAUGAAACUGUCAGCAAAGGGCUCAAACCCUGACAAUACCACACAGGCAAUGGAGUUCGUGAAUUGUGAUGGUCUUUGUUAAUUGUUUUUUAUACAUGUUAAUGUCUUACAUUUUAGAAAAAAAGAGCUACCCACUUGGCCCCCUUGUAUGCUUAAUUAAAUUUAAUAAACCCAAAACCGCUAAAACCCCAUAGUUUGUCAGAAAGAUUACUAACUAAUUGUUUAGGUUUUGAUUAUAAUUAUUAUAAUUAUCAACCUUACUUUAUGGGCCUUAAUUAUUAAAAUGUCCCACAUCAAUUCCCUAACCCUUCUUUCCUUGAAGCUUCUUAGUGUUCUUCUGCACCUCUCCCAGUCGCCCACCAAAAACAGUCGUGCAUGUAUCCCUCUUAAAAUAAGUGCUUCAAUCAUGCACUUUUUGACCCCAAAAAAUAUGUCUAACACCCAAUGCCUUUGUGUUUUUUAAUCAUUUAGUUAAUUUUUUAAAAGAAACAAUAUUUUGUGUUUUUAAUCAUUUGUCAUUAAAAAACUUAAUUAUUUUGACAAAUGACCUUUUUCUGUUCCUUUCUCACCACCAUCUCCCUUUCAAAUCUUUGCUGGCCUUUUUGUCUGUUUAUGAGUUCAUGUUGGAAACAUAUGUUGUUUUGGGCUCUGCUUUCAUUUGGGCUAAGGCCUAGAUGUAUAUAUAAAUACAAGUACUCUUUACGUAAGACGUCCGUUCUUUAUUAAAGAAAAAAUACGGUUACGGUGUUACUGACACAUUACCGACUCCCCGUUCUCUAACCUGUGCUUCAUAGCCGGACUAUAUGUAAAGAAAGAAUAUAUUCAGAUUCUUUGUAUUUCGAUAAAGAACGGACCUCCGUUCGUUCAACAUAUAAAAGAAAGAAUAUAUUCAGAUUCGGGAUCAAUUUUCUAAUAAGAAAUUAUUAUUUUGAAUGAGUUAUGAGAUUUGCAUUCUUUUAUUUCUGGUUUGGACUUUAUUUUCUUCUGUUCGGUAAAUUAAUUGAAUUUUGAGCAGAGAUGUUGGCAACACAAACAAUGAACCCCACCAACCGGAUAAAAGCAAAUCCUACUCAAUUAUGUGUGGAUUAUGAAUUCAGACAAAACCCUGGAAAAGAAUCCGAUCUAACUAAUACUUAAACCCUAGUUGUUAGAUUUGAACAUUUUUAAAGGUUGGACAACAUAUCGCUUUAGCAUUAUUUUUAUCAGUGCAGAUUGCAGAAAGUUGAUAAAAAAAAAAGUAGGGUAACGUCAUUACCAUGAAAGUUCUUGAUGCAGAGCACUCUAUCCAUGCAUGGCUGUCAGGGCCCCACCUCUCUUUAGCUCCUUAAGAUUUGGAAAGACUCGAGCUUUGGUCAAAUAGGUUCUGCAAUCUGCAUAAUCAAAGAAUACAAAGAAUGCAGUACUAAAUAAUUGAACAGAUUUUCAACAAAUACAAAGAAUUUGUGUCCCCUACUCGUCCUAUGAAUUCAACAGGAUGAUUGAGAUCAUUAAAAAUAUAGAAGAAAUGAGAUACCUUAGAUUGGAUGUGGCUUUCCUUCUUCUUUCCUUGCAAGAUUGGAUCUUGGGUUUUGGCUUUUUGUUGAACUGCAGCAAAAGGAAUGGAUAAUGCCCCUUAAUCCAAAAAUAUUUCAGUAAAUCAACACACAAUCGGAUAGAAUAAAAAGGAACAAAAUAUUACUGUUAAUACUUCAUAGUAGUCCCUACAUCCGAUUCAAUGAAACUUGUAUGGAAGUUUUAGUUGUUCCCAUCCGUAUAUAUAUGCCUAUUAGCUGCAGUUUGACAUGAAGUUCUGAAGACAUGAAAAGGAAAACAGAUUAUUAUUCUCAAGAAAAAAAUACAGAAAGAAAUGGCCAUAGCUGGUUAAAAACUUACCCAGAAAACAAGGCGACCUGCAUGUUCGAUGUGCAUCCUUGAUCCUUCCAAGUUUCAUUACUCCCUAACAGUUCGUACAGUAGUAUUUUUUAUGGAUUUUCAUUGUACUUUUUCCAAUUUUCGAACUCGCCAAGUAACCUAUUAGCAACGACCAUGAUGCAUCAGUCGGUAUUAGGUUCUCUCUGCCUGGUUGACAUGCUCUCGAACUAGAGAGAAGUCUGAAUCCAGGUGCUCAAGCUUUGUUUCGCACACUUAAUCAAGGCCCCUGAAAGGAGGAAACCUUUUGGUAGAAGACAUUUCUACUUGCUAUGUGAUCAUAUGGUGUAUAUCCUACUUCAAGUUGCAGUAAAUUUCAUGUUAGCUAUAAUUUCAAUGAUAAUCAUAUGCUGUAUAUCCUACUUAAAUCAACUAAAAUUUCAAUGAUACUUUUAGUUUCAUAUUAUCAGUUGCAAGUUACGUUCUUGGCACCUUUACCUUUCACACACUCAACUUUAGAACUCAAAGGAGUAAGUUUCCAGUUCUAUUGCCUAAUACCUUGUCAAAGUAAGUAACCAAAAAUUAGAUCAACACUUGUAACGUUGGUCUGAUGGUGCUAAUGACUUGACAUUUAAACAAACCUUUACCUUCAAUUCCAAAAGCAAAGUAGUUAUUUUUAAUUAAGGUGAGUUUCUCCCGACUGGGUUUGGCAUGGAAAACAGAAGCAGGCAUUGGCUACUUGCAAGUCACUUCAUAUAAAAACAAUUAAAAGUAUAUAUAAUUAUCAGAGUGUAACGGUUCUAACUUACAGAUACAGCAGAACUACGAUUCUUCUAUAUCCAAAAUCGCACUUGGAGCAUACCCAGUACGCCUCAGAUGAUCUGUUAACUGAUCAAGCAUGGAGUAUAUACUGCUUGAAGUUUCAUGUCUCUUGUCAUCAACCAUAAAUUCGUAAACACGGCCAUCAAUUUCGAUCGAGCUCACUGCUCUACUCUUUAUGGAUCCACCGUCUUUUAUUAGUUUCCUGAUGUUCUUAACAUCCUCCCAUCUGUGCGCUUCACCAAAUAUGUUUGCUAGAAGUACAUAAAGUCCAGAACCAUGCAGUUCCAACUCCAACAGCUGCUUUAGAAUCAGCUUUCCCAAAUCCACAUUUCCAUGGAUCCGACAAGCACCAAGUAAAGCACCCCAAAUGACAACAUCAGGCUUCAUUGGCAUUCCUCUUACCAGCCUCAUUGCUUCUUCUAAAAGUCCCGCUCGCCCCAGCAGAUCUACCAUGCAAGCAUAGUGCUCAAUUUCAGGUGAUAUUCUGUAAGUAGACUUCAUUUUUUCAAAGUAAUGUCUCCCUAAGUCUAGAAGACCACUGUGACUGCAAGCAGAAAGAAGUCCGAUGAAGGUGAUCUCAUCCGGCCAGAUUCUACCUGCUUGCAUCUGUUCGAAUAUCCCGAUUGAUUCUGAUCCGCGACCGUGCAAUGCAAGGGCCCCGAUAAUGAUGUUCCAUGAUACUACAUUCUUUUCUGGUAUCAGAAUAAAGAUGUCCAUGGCAAUUUCAACAGCACCACAUUUUGCAUACAUGUCCAUAAGGGAAUUAAAAAGGGUUACACUGGGUGCAAUAUUGCUGUUGCAAAUGUAAUUAUGGGUUUUCCUUCCAAUGACCAAAUCGCCAAUUUGACUGCAGGAUGAAAGGACAGAAACCAAGGUAGCCUCAUCAGGCACCACACUCGAAUUAAGCAUUUUCUGGAAUAGAUCCAAAGCCACCCUGCACUGGCCUUCCCGUACAUAAUAUGAGAUCAUUGAAUUCCAAGAAACCACAUUUUUAUGUGGCAUCUGGUUGAAAAACUCCUGGGCAAAUUCAAUGAGCCCAUGUUUAGUGUAUGCUCUAACCAUUGACGUCCAGGAAACCACAUUUUUGUGAGUCAUUUGAUCAAAAAUCUUUCGUGCCAAGUGCAAAUGCCCACACUUGGCAUACAUAUCCAGAAGAGCAUUUCUCACAAUUUGGUCAAUUUCAAUCCCACUAACCUCAAUAAAAAGAUGCACAUAUCUUCCCAACUCCAAAUCACAAGCUUGUGAACAAACAGAGAGUAAAUUAACCAAAGUAAACUUAUCAGGCUCAACCCCCAGAUCUCUCAUCUCCCUAAACAACAACAGAGCCUCCUUGCACGAACCCAUUCUAGCAUAGCCACCGAUCAUUGAAUUCCAUGAAACCAGACUCCUCUCAGACAUAUCAUCAAACACAUUCUGAGCACACCGGAUCAACCCCCGAACACUAUAGACAGUAAUAAGGGCAUUUUGCACGCAAACUUGAGACUCAAUUCCUAGUUUAAUAGCCUGGCCAUGAACAGCCACGGCUUCCCAAUAUGCGGACUGUCCCACGCAAACCUUGAGCACAAAGGGCAACGUGAACUCGUUUGGUGAAAGACCUGAACCAACCAUUUGGCAGUAGAGUGAAAAGGCCUUAAAUGGGUCAUUACUAUUUGAGUAACCCCUUAUAAGACUAUUGUACAUAAACUUAUUUGGCUCAGGAAUUUGGUCGAACACAAGCUGGGCGUAGCGGAGAUUUCUGGGAUCGGAGACGGAGCAGAAGGAUAUGAGUUUUCCGAGGGUGAGGUUUUCGCUUGUGAGGCUGUGGAGGAUGAUUAGGGCGUGGAGCUGUUUGAGUUCUCUCAUGGAGGAGCAUUGCUCAAGGAGGAGAUGCAGGGUUUGGUGAGUGGAGUUUUUGAAUUCGUGGGCGAAAUUGGUGGGCUUUGGAGGGAGAGUGGGGUGUAGAGAGUGAAAGAAGCGGGAAGCAACGGUCGGAUUUUUGGGAGUAAAGAACAUGGCCGUUGGAAUUUUGGUUUGGAGGCAAAUGUAACGGUAUUAUGAAUUAUAAAGAUACCUUGUUUUUUGUUUGGGAAAUGUUAUUAGCACUCCAAAAAUCACAUUCUACACUCCUCAUAAGUGUAUUUUUCUUUCUAAUUAUAGAAAGUUUGGAGUUCAAAAUGAAAUUUUUGGAAUGCCAACAACAAUUCCCUUUUAUUUGGGUUGAAAAAUAUCAUAUUGCAAAAACAACUAGCGUUUAAUUUGUAUGGAAGAUCUCCAAACGAAUCAUUGUGCAAGCUUAAUUUGAACCCCUCUUCACUAAAAUGGACAUCGCCUAAAAAACAAAGCCAUAUUAUUAAUUUUUAUUUGAAUGUAUGAUUUAGAUUGACAGUCUAAUAAGAGAAAGUACAACCCACAAUGGUGCCAUUCAUAAUGUUAGUGUUAUAUGUUCUAAACCAAAUGACCCAUAUGUAAAGUUGUUGAAUUAUCGGAUAGACGGCCCAAAGAUCCACUUCCAACAACAUUGAUAUUGUCAUCAACUUGGUAAUUACCACAUACACAAUCUGUCAAGUGUGGGGUUUUAUCAUAAAAGACCUCGGUAUUAGUUGGAGUGGAGUUAAGAUAUUUAAACUCUUCUUUUUACAGAGAUACAGUCGAUGUGGGAUAUUUCAACGCCCCCUCACGUGAGACUCAAUUAGUGGGUCACACGUAAGAGAUUCACACAUCGGCGACCACAUAGAGCCAAGACAACUCACCCUACACGCGGGGCCAAGGGACUCACCAUCAUGGAGUAUAUUUUAACAUGCCCCCUCACGUGGGAUCAAUUAGUGGGUCACACGUAACGUGGAGCCAAGGGAACUCACCCUACACGCGAGGCCAAGGGACCCACCAUCAUCGUCCCUGGCUCUGAUACCAUGUAAAAUUAUCAGAGAGACGGGUCAAAUGCCCACUUCCAACAACAUCGAUAUUGUUCUCAACUUGUUAAAUAUCACUUGCACAGUCCAACAUGUGUAGGAAUUUAUACAAAAAAAGCUUCAAUAUUAGUUGGAGUAGAGUUAAGAGUAUUAAAAUUUUUAUUUUAACAAAAAUACGGUCGAUGUGAGAUAUUUCAACAAAAACUUCUUGCAAAUAUGGUUACAGGUGUCACUUGCAUUUACAAGUGAUUAGAAAAACAACUUAUUCCUUCUUCAUAAAAUACAACUCAAAAUAACUUUGUAAUAUACAUUUCUCAAAGCUUCAUCUCAGACGACCCUAUUUGUAUCUCCUAAAAGUUUCUGCAUAUGACACCAUUGUUUCAAUUUCGGCGGAGCUCAUUUUCUGUAUAUGACACAACAGCCGGCAAGACUUUUACAAAGAAGGAAGAAGCCAAAGAUUGAAUAGAGAGGAACCUAGUGAAAGAAACCAAGAAAGGAAAGCCAUUGCAGCAGAUAACUGAUAUCUAGUACAUAACUUGGCAGGGCAGUAGGAUCUACCGAGAUGAAGUAGGAGAUAUGUGGUACUAGCCGUUGAGCAAGCUGCAGCGAGUGAGAGAUAUGACAACGCCUGUGAUGAAACGAACAUAAUAUAUUCUUAAGUUGGGAAAACGAAGAAUUUGUUCUUAAUGAGAUAAAUAAGUUUAUAGACAAAAACACAUACCAAGUCUCCUAAAAUAAUUAUUGUAGUUAUUCUUGGUCGACGAGGCAAAUAUCUAAAGAAGACAGAGUAGACAUCCACGAUCAUCAACGUCAUGCUCCAUGGAACUACCAAACCCAUUACUGUCACCAAAUAGCUGCAACGCAAGCAAUGGUAAGAGUUACUACUAUAUAUUAAUAAAAAAGUUCUCGUUGAGCACUUUCAUCUCCUUCAUUUUGCAAACGUGAAAUAACCGAGACAACAUAAAUCUGGUAAUGGCUAUAAUGGACAAUUCAAAUAGCACCAUAGAAUCAUUUCAGUUUACAGAUUAGAACAUGAAGAAACAAACGUUGCAGGAAAAGUGACUUGAAUUUGUUAGGUUUUAGAAGUUGAAAAGUUCUUAACUGUUAAAAUUUCUAGCUCUUCGCCACAAGACUUUUAGAGAUGGUAAUAUUUUACAGGUUCGAGAAGACACCAAUAAGGACAAGUUCAGGGUGAGGUUAUUGAUUGGAAGUACAUUUGGAGCAAUGGAAGCAACACAUACAGUUGAACACAGUAGACUUCUUUGGACAUGUCAUUAGAGCAUAAAUUCUUAAAGACUAAGUCAAUGACCAACAAAAACAGACGUGCAAAAUUAGCUUUGUGAGAAAAAGAAAAAAAGUCAACUAAGAGCAGAUGAUACCACAAUGUUCUACAAUGAGAGUUUACAGAGUCUUUUCAUUUCCAUGAGAGUUUACGCUUAAAAUGUUUGAAGGCUGAAAGAUUUUGCUUCCAAUUCUCUGUUGAGUUUUUGGUUUCGAAUCUAGAUUCACAUCUUACGGGCCAUAAAACCAGUUAAGUCUAUCAAGAAGCGGUUUUGAUGCUCUACAAUGUUCUGAUGACUUCAAAGCUGCUAAAAUUCGAUAGUGAAUUACAGAGUCCUAAACAGUUCAUUCUCUACAAAAAAUUCCAACAUAUUUACUUGCUCAAUUAGGAGAAACUUAGAAACAGUUGCAUAUACUGAAAAUUCUUCAUCAGUAAGCCCAACUAUAUAUUAUUAUAAUCUUUUGCAUGUAUAGAAUAUGUUAAAUUUUAACCAGUUCAAUCUCCAUAUGAUCUUUACAGAAACACAGUUUCCAGUUCUUAACAAAGCCAAAAGUCAAUAUCCAGCCCAAGAAAUCAAAACAGAAUUGCCAUCAAAUUCAGAAACAGAGACAUGGGUAUUGAACAACAAGUCAAAAUCACAAAAGGGUCCGAUGAAAUUCAACUAAGAAACUCCAAAUUCGAAGAAUUCGAAAGUACCAGAAGGCGGUGUAGCUGUAGAACUCGACGUCCAAGCACAUGAAGAGAAGGGAGGCAGUGGAGAAGAUGGUCUGCCCGAAUCGCAGAGCCAAGCUGGCGCUGGUUCCCAACGACCCCGGCAGUUCAUCCAUGCUUGCAAUUGCAUGCAGCAGCAACAACAACAAGAACUCCUCAUGGUAAACGAAAUUCAAGAACAAUUCUUCUCAGCCACAUGACCAAAUAGUUGUGGCAAAAAUGGAGUUCCAAAUAAUUUUGGGGAAAUAUGGGAACUGGGUUUUGAAGGGGGAGAGGAGGACUUGCUUUGGUGGGAAGAAUGGUAAUGGGAAUGUGAAUCGUUGUGGUGAAUUGUCAAGGAAAAGGAGUGUUGGGGAGAAAAGAAAACAAAAGUGAGAGAGACGUAAAGGGUACGCAGAUUUUGGUGGGUUUUUUGGCUUUGGCUUUGGCAUCUCCUCCAUCAUUUGGGCAUAAAUGGUAUAAUGUUCUUAUCGGGUAGGCAGGGAGUGCGGCAUCUUCUCCUUCAUUUCAUCCCGCUUAAUUUAUUAUUAUUAUUAUUAUUAUUAUUAAUUUUAUUAUAAGCGAUAUUAUUACUCCGUUUAUAUUUGUAUUUACAUAGGGUUUAAUUCUAAAUAAGUUUUAAAAAAUAUAAUCAUAGAGAGUGACUAUAUGACACAUAUAUACAAUCACAAUGAUGUUUGUGCACCAAUGAAAUAAAAACAUAUAUAAAUUUUAUUCAUAUAUUCUUAUUUCAUUGGCAUGUGGUGAUGUACCCGUAAUUUCUCAACCAUUAGGGCAAAACCCAAAAAUUAUUAGGUGGAUAAAAAUAGUGUUUUUUCUCUUUUUCUUUUUCCUCAAUAAGGUUCUUUGAAUCAAAGCGUAUAAAGUAAGGGAAUUGGCUUUAAAUUUGCUAUUAUAUGUCUUUGUUUUAUUUUGCAUGAUUAAUUGCCGAGUGUAUUUUAAUACAGGUUGGAUACAAAAGAACCAAAAAGUAGUACAAAGCUCAAAUGAAACUUAACAAACUUCAUUUCUCACUUAACAUGUAUUUGAUCUUCAUGAACACAACCCAGUUGGUUUACGACUUUACUAUCACUUACAAGUGAAAAAAGACGAUAAGUCAAAUAUAAUUAGAUUUCAAACUUAACAGUGAUAUUAUACAUCUUUAUCAUUCAUGUAAGUCAAAAUUUAGACCUCUACUUAUGAGCGACAAAAAAAAUAUUACUAAACCAUUUUUUUUAGGAAUUUUAACGAAAAACUCACGGUACUAUUCACUUUAACCAAAAAUCAUAUUUUUACACUAAAAAGUCAAUCAUGGUACUAUUCACUUUACCUCUUAUUUUGUCUUUAUCAUUAAAAAUCAAAGUUUUUAAACCCUUUUCAUUAGUUUUGCUUUUUUUUUUUAGUUUUUCUUCUUUAUUAUUUUUAAAGUCUAUAUGAAUGUAGCUUUGUCAACAUGUUAUCUUUUACCCAAAUCACAUCAUUUUACUAGUAAUAUUAUAAAAAUUGAGACAAUGUCUAUUGAAGAACUAAUAUUUAAUUAAAUGUUUGAUGCUUUUCAUUUAAACUAAUAUACAAUAAUUUCCCAAAUAUCAUGGUUCAAUGGUCUCUUUCAUAGAGGGUUUAAAUAUUAUUUCAUAUAUGAAUAUAAUAUAAUUACUUUCAAGUUUUGCCAUACAAAACACAGAGAAUUAUAAUCACACAUUUAAAAAAUAAAUAAAUAAAGUUUGACAAUCUUGAAGAGAAUACUACCAAAUGCAUGUCACUCAGUCCAAAUGUCCAAUUUGUGUGGCUCACCAACCACAUAAAAGGAUAUGAGAAAGCAAUUAGCGUAAAAAGAUGAUGUCGAUGAUCAUAAUUUAUUAUAAUCAAUAUUGCUCGUUACUUUUUCACAGCAAAUCGUUGUCUGACGCAUUUAUAAAAGAAACAGUUUUUACGCAUGUCAAAUUUUGACGUAUAAUGAUUUACCGUUAAAGAAGUUUGACUCCUUAAAAGAUAAUGUACAAGAAAGAUAAUACAUACAAGAUAAUAGGCAUGAUAAUAUACAAGAAGAUAAUGAUCUGAGUGAUCUCAGUGCUUGUUGUUCAAUUGGGUUACAAAGAGAGUUGAGCAACACCUUUUUAACUUAUAGCAAAAUCUGAAACCCAGAAUCACCAUUAAUACAUAGAGGAAAACGAAACUAAUCAAGCUGAGCAUACCAAACUCCCUGGAUUUUGACAUCCUUUGGAGUCUUGGCUCCCAAGUCAGUGUCGGAUGGCUGAAGGCUCUCGAACACCCCAAUCAACUCACCAGUCUCAGGCUUGGUCUUUGUCACACUCAGUGUUAUCUUCCCCUUCGAUGCUGCUGUAUUCUUGGUGUUCUCCUUUGCCAGCUCCUCCUCGUCUCCUCUGCCUCCUGCCGGCAGUGCGACCGCAUUGUCAUAACCGGUGGAUCCUCCUCUUCCCUUGGGGUCCAAGAAAGAGGAUCCACGGUAUGAUGGUACUAGAAACUCUCCCGUGAAAUUUUCGGGCUUGCCAGAGGCUACCAGCUGCUUGAUGGUAAAGAGGAAGGGCACGCGCUCGCCUCCCGGGAGCUGGACUGUCACUGCAGCGUAGUCAAUUCCGUCUUUCUCUUCGAACUUGAUGGAGCCAUCUGGAGCAACUUCGAAAGGUCCUUCGAUCUCAUCGAGGGUGUAGGUUAGGCGGGUCAUGAGCUUGGUGUUUUGGAACUCUGGUGGAGCGUUCUUGUUCACACUCUCAGCCUUAACAGUGAAGGAUGUUGGCUCUAGGCAGAACUUCUUGGCACUGUACUUGCCGGGUUUGAAGGCAAAUGCUUCGGAUCCUCCGUCGAUGGUUGGGCAUUGGUUAGCAGUUCCUGUUCCCUUCACUUCCAAGUAGGUCUUGCUCUGGAUUUCGUCGAAGGUCAACCUCUUUGGAGCUCCCUCUGCACCUGCUCCCUGAAACACAAAGUGUUGGCCAAGAAUGACCAAAUGUCAAUCUUACUUAAUAAUAAAAAGGAAUCCGAUGAUCACGUUACCUAAGUUGUUGUCAAACUGUCAGUCUAAAUUGAAAUAGUGAGAUUUAUAUCCAUACUUUAUAAAAUCAAGUGAUGCUGCGUUAUGUUUGAUAGGUUUUCAAUCUCAACUAUUAGAUGAGCAUACGUACAUAUGACAUGCGAUUUAGCUUGUGAUCCAAACAACAUAACAUGUCAUAUAUCUAAAACGAACAUUACUCUCGUCUGGUGAGACGAUCCAAUUCUAACAAAUUAAUGGAGAACAUGUCGAUAUUGCUACACAAUUGCGUAUUCAACUAGUCCAAACUUACCGCCUAACUAUAGUUCAUAUUAACGAGUAAGUACUAGUAAACAUGAAUUCACAAAAGUUCAAAUGCAAACAACUUAGUCAUUGUUCUACUUCUACACCACAAUUUCAAUCACAUGAAGCAAGAAACUAAGGAGUGAAAUGGAAUUAGCAUGUCAUACCGAAACGACGAGAGCGGAAGUAGCAAGAGCAAAUCCAGCAAUCUUGGAUGCAUCAAGGCACUUGUGAGCCAAGUCCUUGAGAUCAGAUUGCAAAGAGCAAGUGAGCCUAGCAGAAGCAGAUGGCUCCAAGCCAAAGGCCUUGGAGACACUCUGAGAGGACCUCAGUUGCACACUGGUCCUCGCCGACACGCCGACCUUGGUCGGCUGCAUGAGCGUAGCAGCUGCUUGGAGGGAGGCUGCCAUGGUUGUGUUCACUAUUUUUUUGUGAUCUCUCACACAAUAAUU
This 19172-nucleotide long non-coding RNA is filed under the name Malus domestica (apple). RNAcentral's name for it is "long non-coding RNA (MDOM_LNC001575)". The record is from RNAcentral. Lineage: Eukaryota; Viridiplantae; Streptophyta; Magnoliopsida; Rosales; Rosaceae.